RNAcentral lists this ribosomal RNA (254 nucleotides) under uncultured bacterium. RNAcentral's name for it is "partial 16S ribosomal RNA". It matches the Rfam family "Bacterial small subunit ribosomal RNA", at positions 524 to 776 of the family's 1533-position model. The record is from RNAcentral.
UACAGAGGGUGCGAGCGUUGUUCGGAAUUACUGGGCGUAAAGCGCGCGCAGGCGGCCCUUUAAGUCUGACGGUGAAAUGCCGGGGCUCAACCCCGUGCCCGCCGCGGAUACUGGAGGGCUGGAGACACGUAGAGGCAAGCGGAAUUCCGGGUGUAGCGGUGGAAUGCGUAGAGAUCCGGAAGAACACCGGAGGCGAAGGCGGCUUGCUGGGCGUAGUCUGACGCUGAGGCGCGAAAGCCAGGGGAGCAAACGGG